UGGAGCUAGUGUAGUUUAUCGACGACAACGCGAACGUAACCUUACCGAGGGUCUUGACACUCCCUGACCGCGUAUAGAAGUACGUUUCACCUCGGGUGACAGGGAGACAGGUGGUGCAUGGUUGUCGUCAGCUCGUGUCGUGAGAUGUUGGGUUAAGUCCCGCAACGAGCGCAACCCCUACGUUUAGUUGCUAACGGGUGGAGCCGAGCACUCUAGACGAACUGCCGUUGACAAAACGGAGGAAGGUGGGAUGACGUCAAAUCAUCAUGCCCCUUAUGUUCUGGGCUACACACGUGCUACAAUGGCCGGUACAGACGGAGGCGAAGCCGCGAGGCGGAGCAAAUCCGAAAAGCCGGUCUCAGUUCGGAUUGCAGGCUGCAAUUCGCCUGCAUGAAGUCGGAAUCGCUAGUAAUCGCAGGUCAGCAUACUGCGGUGAAUACGUUCCCGGGCCUU
RNAcentral lists this ribosomal RNA (453 nucleotides) under uncultured Pelotomaculum sp. RNAcentral describes it as "bacterial SSU rRNA". It matches the Rfam family "Bacterial small subunit ribosomal RNA", at positions 933 to 1382 of the family's 1533-position model. Lineage: Bacteria; Bacillati; Bacillota; Clostridia; Eubacteriales; Desulfotomaculaceae. The record is from RNAcentral.